Molecule: long non-coding RNA, 442 nt
Filed under: Fukomys damarensis (Damara mole-rat)
Lineage: Eukaryota; Metazoa; Chordata; Mammalia; Rodentia; Bathyergidae
Description: lncRNA (ENSFDAG00000032222.1)
Source: RNAcentral
UUUAAAAGGCCGGUGCUUGCCGGCAAUAAACGUCGCCUUGAUCAGACUCUUGUCUUGGCGUCCUUCCUUUCUCUCUACCCCAUCUCCACCCCGCUGCUCUUUCAGGUUUGAGACACUGCUGGACAGUGCUCUGCGUCGCCGGCUCGCGACAGUCAGGUUUAGGACCUGCUGGCAGGAUCCUGACGUUGCAGCUCGCGACAAGUGGCGCCCGACCAGGGACCUGAAAGUUGAUGAGGAUACGUAAUCCCGGACCCAGGUCGAAGGCAGGGACGGUGCUCCGGAGGACUGACCGCUGCGCCUGAUCCUUGCAGUAAGUCUACCAUUCACUUCGUGAAGAAAAAGUGAAAAGAAAGUAAGAAGAAAUGAAAAGAAGGUAAGAAAAAGUGAAAAGAAAGUAAGAAAAAGUGAAAAGAAGGUAGAGAGUGUCAAGUCCAUUGGGAAG